AUUGAACGCUGGCGGCAGGCUUAACACAUGCAAGUCGAACGAGCGGCGGACGGGUGAGUAAUGUCUGGGAACCUGCCUGAUAGCGGGGGAUAACUACUGGAAAAGGUAGCUAAUACCGCAUACCAUCAGAUGUGCCCAGAUGGGAUUAGCUAGUAGGUGGGGUAAUGGCUCACCAAGGCGACGAUCCCUAGCUGGUUUGAGAGGCCGACCAGCCACACUGGAACUGAGACACGGCCCAGACUCCUACGUGAGGCAGCAGUGGGGAAUAUUGGACAAUGGGCGAAAGCCUGAUGCAGCCAUGCCGCGUGUGUGAUGAAGGCCUUCGGGUUGUAAAGUACUUUUAGCGAGGAAGCGGUAUUUGCAGAAUAAGCACCGGCUAACUACGUGCCAGCAGCCGCGGUAAUAC
Molecule: ribosomal RNA, 406 nt
Filed under: uncultured bacterium
Lineage: Bacteria
Description: partial 16S ribosomal RNA
Rfam family: Bacterial small subunit ribosomal RNA
Source: RNAcentral